UAAAACUCCGCUGGCGUGAAAGAUGACGUCCUUAGCCCAGCAGCUCCAACGACUCGCCCUCCCUCAAAGUGAUGCCAGCCUCUUGUCUAGAGAUGAAGUUGCCUCUUUGUUGUUUGACCCUAAGGAAGCGGCCACCAUCGACAGAGACACCGCCUUUGCCAUAGGAUGCACUGGCCUGGAAGAGUUGCUUGGAAUUGAUCCUUCCUUUGAGCAGUUUGAAGCACCAUUGUUCAGUCAGCUAGCAAAAACCUUGGAGCGAAGUGUUCAGACCAAAGCAGUAAACAAACAGUUGGAUGAAAACAUUUCAUUAUUCCUUAUUCACUUGUCGCCUUACUUCCUGCUUAAGCCGGCACAGAAGUGUCUGGAGUGGUUGAUUCACAGAUUCCAUAUACAUCUCUAUAAUCAAGAUAGCCUCAUUGCUUGUGUUCUGCCAUACCACGAGACAAGAAUAUUUGUGCGAGUCAUACAGCUUCUAAAAAUUAAUAAUUCAAAGCACAAAUGGUCCUGGUUGUCGCCAGUUAAGCAAUCUGGAGUGCCCUUAGCUAAAGGAACUUUGAUUACCCACUGCUACAAAGAUCUUGGAUUCAUGGAUUUCAUUUGUAGUUUGGUGACAAAAUCUGUGAAGGUUUUUGCUGAGUCCCCGGGCAACUCAGCUCAGUUGAGGGUGCUCUUGGCUUUCUAUGCUUCUACCAUAGUGUCGGCGCUGGUAGCUGCAGAGGACGUAUCAGACAAUAUCAUCGCCAAACUAUUUCCCUACAUCCAAAAGGGAUUGAAAUCAUCUUUACCAGAUUACAGAGCUGCAACAUACAUGAUAAUAUGUCAAAUUUCUGUGAAAGUGACCAUGGAAGAUACCUUUGUGAAUUCAUUGGCGUCACAGAUCAUCAAAACAUUGACCAAGAUUCCGUCUUUGAUCAAGGAUGGAUUAAGUUGCUUGAUAGUGCUCCUGCAAAGACAGAAGCCAGAGAGCCUUGGGAAAAAGCCAUUCCCUCACUUAUGUAGUGUUCCCGAUCUUAUUACCAUACUUCAUGGGAUUUCUGAAACUUACGAUGUCAGUCCUCUUCUGCGUUACAUGCUUCCCCAUCUGGUUGUCUCCAUCAUUCAUCAUGUUACAGGAGAAGAAACUGAAGGAAUGGAUGGUCAAAUCUACAAGAGACACUUAGAAGCUAUACUUACAAAAAUAUCACUGAAGAACAACUUAGACCAUUUGUUGGCUAGUCUUCUAUUUGAAGAGUAUAUUUCAUAUAGUUCACAGGAAGAAAUGGAUUCUAAUAAAGUGUCUUUGCUUAAUGAACAAUUUCUUCCACUCAUUAGGCUUUUAGAAAGCAAAUACCCCAGAACGUUAGAUGUUGUAUUAGAGGAGCACUUAAAGGAAAUUGCAGAUCUGAAGAAACAAGAGCUUUUUCAUCAGUUUGUUUCUCUUUCAACAAGUGGAGGAAAGUAUCAGUUUUUAGCAGAUUCUGAUACUUCUUUGAUGCUCAGCCUGAAUCAUCCACUUGCUCCUGUGAGACUUCUGGCCAUUAAUCAUUUGAAAAAGAUCAUGAAAACAUCAAAGGAGGGUGUUGAUGAGUCUUUCAUAAAAGAAGCUGUUUUAGCCCGAUUAGAUGAUGAUAAUAUAGAUGUUGUUUUGUCGGCUGUAAGUGCUUUUGAGAUUUUCAAAGAACAUUUCACUGCAGAAGUGACGAUUUCAAAUCUUCUGAAUCUCUUUCAAAGAGCGGAACUUUCAAAGAAUAGAGAAUGGUACAAGGUACUUAAGAUAGCAGCUGACAUAUUAAUUAAAGAAGAGAUACUAAGUGAAAAUGAUCGGUUGUCAAAUCAGGUGGUUGUAUGUUUGCUGCCAUUUAUGGUUAUCAAUAAUGAUGACAUGGAAUCUGCUGAGAUGAAAAUUGCUAUAUAUUUAUCAAAAUCAGGAAUCUGCUCUCUGCACCCUCUAUUAAGAGGCUGGGAAGAAGCUCUUGAAAAUGUGAUUAAAAGCACAAAGCCAGGAAAACUAACUGGUGUAGCAAAUCAGAAGAUGAUUGAGUUGUUAGCUGAUAAUAUAAAUUUAGGAGAUCCUUCUUCAAUGUUAAAGAUGGUGGAGGAUUUAAUAAGCCUGGGUGAGGAGGAGUCCGUUAACCAGAAGCAGAAAGUAACGUUUCACGUGGUCAUGUCUGUGCUCGUCUCUUGUUGUUCAUCUUUAAAAGAAACCCACUUUCCAUUUGCGAUAAGAGUCUUCAGUUUGUUGCAGAAAAAAAUAAAGAAGCUUGAAAGUGUCAUUACUGCAGUGGAAAUCCCCUCAGAAUGGCACAUUGAACUGAUGUUAGACAGAGGGAUACCAGCGGAGCUGUGGGCACAUUAUGUAGAAGAGCUCAACAGCACUCAGAGGAUGGCCGUGGAGGACUCGGUUUUUCUUGUAUUUUCCCUGAAAAAUUUUAUUUAUGCACUGAAAGCUCCUAAAUCUUUUCCUAAAGGUGACAUAUGGUGGAAUCCUGAACAACUGAAAGAAGACAGCAGGGACUAUCUGCACUUGCUCAUUGGGCUGUUUGAGAUGAUGCUCAAUGGUGCUGAUGCUAUUCAUUUCAGAGUUCUGAUGAAACUUUUCAUAAAGGUACAUCUAGAAGAUGUUUUUCAGUUAUUCAAGUUCUGUUCUGUUUUAUGGACCUAUGGUUCUAGCCUUUCAAAUCCACUUAACUGCAAUGUGAAAACAGUGCUGCAGACUCAAGCUCUUUAUGUGGGCUCUGCAGUGCUCUCUUCUCAGAAGACACAGUGUAAACACCAACUGGCAUCCAUAUCUUCUCCAGUGGUGACAUCUUUACUCAUUAACCUGGGAAGCUCCAUAAAAGAAGUUCGUAGGGCUGCCAUUCAAUGUCUCCAGGCCCUCAGUGGAGUGGCGUCCCCCUUUCAUCUCAUAAUAGAUCAUUUGAUUCCUAAAGCAGAGGAGAUCACUUCAGAUGCUGCCUAUGUUACUCAGGAUUUGGCUACUUUAUUUGAGGAACUACAGAGAGAAAAGAAACUGAAGUCUCAUCAGAAGUUGUCUGAAACUUUGAAAAACUUACUUAGUUGUGUAUAUAGUUGCCCAUCUUAUAUAGCAAAAGAUUUGAUGAAAGUACUUCAGGGAGUCAACGGUGAGAUGGUGCUUUCUCAGCUAUUGCCUAUGGCUGAACAACUGCUAGAAAAGAUCCAGAAGGAGCCCACAGCUGUGCUGAAAGAUGAGGCCAUUGUUUUGCAUCUCGCUCUGGGAAAGUAUAAUGAAUUUUCAGCUUCCCUUUUAAAUAAGGAUCCAAAGAGUCUAGAUAUAUUUAUAAAAGCUGUGCACGCAACAAAGGAACUUUACGCAGGAAUGCCAGCCAUUCAGAUCACAGCCCUUGAAAAGAUUACAAAACCAUUUUUUGCAGCCGUAUCAGAUGAAAAAGUUCAGCAGAAGCUUUUAAGAAUAUUGUUUGAUUUAUUGGUGAAUUGUAAAAACUCACAUUGUGCUCAGACUGUCAGCAGUGUUUUUAAAGGGAUUUCCGUUAAUGCUGAACAAGUCAGAAUAGAACUGGAGCCACCAGAUAAAGCUAAACCCUUGGGCACGGUUCAGCAAAAAAGAAGGCAAAAAAUGCAGCAGAAAAAAUCACAAGAUCUAGAAUCUGUCCAGGAAGUUGGAGGUUCCUACUGGCAAAGAGUAACUCUCAUCCUGGAAUUACUGCAGCACAAAAAGAAGCUCAAAAGUCCUCAGAUAUUGGUGCCAACUCUUUUUAACUUGCUAUCAAGGUGUUUAGAGCCCUUGCCACAAGAGCAGGGAAAUAUGGAAUACACCAAACAGUUAAUUCUUAGUUGUCUGCUCAACAUCUGCCAGAAACUCUCUCCAGAUGGUGGCAAAAUACCCAAAGAUGUUUUAGAUGAGGAGAAGUUCAAUGUGGAGUUGAUAGUUCAGUGUGUCCGCCUUUCGGAGAUGCCGCAGACCCAUCACCACGCCCUUUUACUUUUGGGCACUGUGGCUGGAAUAUUUCCGGAUAAAGUUCUACACAAUAUCAUGUCUAUUUUUACAUUUAUGGGAGCCAAUGUCAUGCGCCUGGAUGAUACUUACAGUUUUCAGGUUAUUAACAAGACGGUGAAAAUGGUUAUUCCUGCACUUAUUCAGUCUGACAGUGGAGAUUCUAUAGAAGUUUCAAGAAACGUUGAAGAGAUCGUGGUAAAAAUCAUUAGUGUAUUUGUGGAUGCACUUCCACACGUCCCGGAGCACAGGCGCCUGCCCAUCCUUGUUCAGCUUGUUGAUACACUGGGUGCAAAGAAAUUCCUCUGGGUUCUCCUCAUCUUGCUUUUUGAACAGUAUGUCACAAAAACAGUGCUGGCGGCUGCCUAUGGAGAAAAGGAUGCUAUUUUAGAAGCAGACACUGAAUUUUGGUUUUCAGUCUGUUGUGAGUUUAGUGUCCAGCAUCAGAUACAAAGCUUGAUGAAUAUCCUCCAGUACUUACUAAAGCUGCCAGAGGAAAAAGAAGAAACCAUUUCCAAAGCAGUGUCUAAUAAGAGUGAAUCACAAGAAGAAAUGCUACAGAUUUUUAAUGUAGAGACUCACACUAGCAAGCAACUGCGACAUUUUAAAUUUUUGUCAGUGUCCUUCAUGUCUCAGCUCCUGUCUUCCAAUAAUUUUCUGAAAAAGGUAGUUGAGAGUGGUGGUCCUGAGAUUUUAAAAGGCCUUGAAGAGAGGUUGCUGGAGACUGUUCUCGGCUAUAUCAAUGCUGUUGCACAGUCCAUGGAAAGGAACGCAGACAAACUCACUGUGAAGUUCUGGCGUGCGCUCCUUAGUAAAGCUUACGACCUGUUAGACAAGGUCAAUGCCUUGCUGCCCACAGAGACAUUCAUUCCUGUGAUCAGAGGGCUGGUGGGCAAUCGCCUGCCAUCUGUUCGGCGGAAAGCGCUGGACCUUUUGAAUAACAAGCUACAACAGAAUAUAUCCUGGAAGAAGACAAUAGUUACCCGUUUCCUAAAACUGGUUCCAGACCUUUUGGCCAUUGUGCAGCGUAAGAAAAAGGAAGGGGAAGAAGAACAAGCAAUCAACAGGCAGACAGCAUUGUAUACCUUAAAGCUUUUAUGCAAGAAUUUUGGUGCAGAAAAUCCAGAUCCUUUUGUCCCAGUGCUGAGCACUGCUGUGAAACUGAUUGCUCCAGAGAGAAAGGAGGAGAAGAACGUCUUGGGAAGCGCGCUGCUGUGCGUAGCAGAGGUGACCUCCACCCUGGAGGCGCUGGCCAUCCCCCAGCUUCCCAGCCUAAUGCCCUCGUUACUGACAACAAUGAAGAACACCAGCGAGCUGGUCUCCAGCGAGGUCUACCUGCUCAGUGCCUUGGCCGCCCUGCAGAAGGUUGUGGAGACUCUCCCGCACUUCAUCAGCCCCUACCUGGAAGGCAUUCUCUCCCAGGUGAUUCACUUGGAGAAAAUCACUAGUGAAGUGGGUUCUGCCUCCUCACAGGCUAAUAUCCGUCUCACAUCUCUGAAAAAGACACUGGCUACCACACUCGCACCCCGAGUCCUGUUGCCCGCCAUCAGAAAAACUUACAAGCAGAUCGAGAAGAACUGGAAGAAUCACAUGGGUCCGUUUAUGAGCAUCUUGCAGGAGCAUAUUGGGGUGAUGAAGAAGGAAGAGCUCACCUCCCAUCAGUCUCAGCUAACCGCCUUUUUCCUGGAGGCCCUGGACUUCCGAGCCCAGCACUCUGAGAAUGAUCUGGAGGAAGUUGGAAAAACAGAAAAUUGUAUCAUUGACUGUCUAGUAGCCAUGGUUGUCAAGCUUUCCGAGGUCACAUUCCGACCCCUGUUCUUCAAGCUGUUUGAUUGGGCUAAAACAGAAGAUGCCCCAAAGGACAGGUUGUUGACAUUUUACAACUUGGCAGAUUGCAUUGCUGAAAAGCUGAAAGGGCUUUUUACGCUGUUUGCCGGCCACUUAGUGAAGCCUUUUGCUGACACCUUGAACCAGGUGAACAUCUCCAAAACAGAUGAAGCAUUUUUUGACUCUGAAAAUGACCCUGAAAAGUGCUGCUUGCUGUUGCAGUUUAUUUUGAACUGUUUAUACAAAAUCUUCCUUUUUGAUACCCAGCAUUUUAUAAGUAAAGAGAGAGCAGAAGCCUUGAUGAUGCCUCUGGUGGAUCAGCUGGAAAACAGGCUUGGGGGAGAAGAGAAAUUCCAGGAACGGGUGACAAAGCAGCUGAUACCGUGCAUCGCGCAGUUUUCGGUGGCCAUGGCGGAUGACUCUCUCUGGAAACCACUGAACUACCAGAUUCUGCUAAAGACCAGAGAUGCCUCGCCUAAGGUUCGAUUUGCUGCUUUGAUUACUGUGUUAGCACUGGCUGAAAAACUAAAGGAGAAUUAUAUUGUCUUGCUACCAGAAUCCAUUCCUUUCUUAGCAGAGUUGAUGGAAGAUGAAUGUGAAGAAGUAGAACAUCAGUGCCAAAAGACUAUUCAGCAACUGGAAACUGUCCUGGGAGAGCCGCUCCAGAGCUAUUUCUAAGACUUUCUGUGGUGUUUCAUACUCUACUCAGAGUUCUGAUUUUUCAUAUUUUUAUGUUUGGGUGUUGGGUGCCAUGUUACUUUUGGUGCCUUAAUACACCUACGUGGUACUUAACAAAUGUUUUAUCACUUCUUUACAAAAUUCUCACCUGGUUUAUGCUACCACAUAAGCCUCUCCUGCCUAUUGUAUAGAGCUUCAGAAAGAGUAAAUGAUACAUGAUAUUUUUAUACAGACUGAUGUGUGUGUUUAAACAUUUAUUCUCUUCCUGAUUGAUGGUAAUAUCAGACCUGUUUACUUUUAGCACCCAAAGCAGACGCCUCAUUUGCACUGUAAGCCUUAACUCUUCUGUACAGCAGUGUCUUAUAUACAUGGUAUCUGUGUUGCAGAUUUCACUCCAAGUUGCUCUCUACUUGAAGAAAAUGAAGUUAUUUAGCAAUCAACAGAAAUACUUUUGACCGUAAAGCCUACUUAUCAUUUUGGGGGAGAUGGAGGCAAUACGCUGCUUCUAAAGCAGCUCACACCUGGCUGCUCACACAGAGGGCCCAGAAACACUGGGUGGCACAAGGAAGCUCCUCCCGGAUUAAGAAUGAACCCAAUUCCAUUGGUGGUUAACUAAGAAGUACUUGUCUAAGACAGUAUCAGUAGAUUUUUUUCAGUGCUUUCAAGUGCCCUAAUCUCUAGUACUGGGUCAUGGUGAGGUUGGAAAGUGAGGGCUCAAAUAAAAUUAAAUCUGCCCCCUUUUAAAGGCAUCAAGCACAGUCCCAUGGAAUGUUCGCAUUGAGUUUAAAAGCCUUUGAAACUAAUAUAGAAGUUUAAUGCAGAAAUGGGGCAAGCAAAAGGUCAACUUGCAGUGUAGAGACAGAGCUUGCUCGCAUAGAAUUGCGUAUUUCUAAGAAAUGUCUCAAUAAAAUUCAUUAAUAAAUACUAAUAGCUUUUUAAAUUUUUUACUCCACAUAAAAUGAAAAUGAACUUAAGACUUAUAAGGAAUGAUGUGAGUGGGCUAUUUUUUUCCCAAAUGCCUCACAGUCUCCAAAGCUCGGUUAAGCACCUUGAUGGUCUUUAUGAAAAAAAUAACUCUGGAGGAUUCUGGAGUCUUCUUGCCUUCUACAGCUUUCCCUGUGGCACCCCCCACCCCCAGCCAGUGUCUUUGAGCUUGGUGAGACUCUGCAUAAAUUAACAUGAAAAGCUGAAAAAGAAUUAAGGGCUAGCAAUUGCUACACUGAGUACUUUUUAAAAAAUAAGAUUGACAAUGGUAUUCUUUUCCAUAUAUGGAUAGAAAUAAUAUCUAACUGAAAUCUGUUCUGAAAAUAUUCCUAAAUCCUGGCAGAGUUCUGCCCCAGUUUAAUGUGAUAAAAUGAUCCUCACUGAGCGAGCUUUUUUUCCCUCCCGACUCCCAAACCUUUGAAAUUUCCUGAAACAAGAUCUGACCUGUAAAGAUCCCAUAUACAUGGAACUUCUGCCAACUCCCCUCAAAUAAUAGAAAAAUUACAGAAAUGCAACAAUUUAACUUGCUGAUACAGGUUUGAUUUUAAUCACUUGAAGCAGAAGAGUGCUUUGAUCUCAGUUGCUAAUGAUGAUGGACUAAUCUUAAGAACAGAGGCCUUGAGUGGUGAUUUGCAUGGGCACAAAACAGAUGUUUGCAUUACCUCUGCCUGCUUUGUGGGUCUCUUAGUUGGUGUACACUUUCUGAUACUACCUGCCUUAUGACUCCCUGAAGUCUAAUCCUGACCUUACUUUGUUGCCCAUAAAUACCUUUCAAAUUGAA
Molecule: non-coding RNA, 8222 nt
Organism: Chlorocebus sabaeus (green monkey)
Lineage: Eukaryota; Metazoa; Chordata; Mammalia; Primates; Cercopithecidae
Source: RefSeq, a predicted model, not a curated record